ACUUCAAAAAAUCAAAUUUGCCUUUCCAGAUGGAGCGCAUUAAAGAUGAAAUAAAAAUAUGAGGUGCAAAGUGACCCCAAAAAAUGAAAAUGGGGUAGGGAACAACCAUUUCCCUUUUUAGAUUCAACACAAAAAUCUCAUGUUUUGUCACCACAUAAGCUGUGACUAUGGCUACUCAAUCUCUUCUACAAGAUGCUGCCUUUCAUCAGAAUGAGAACGGUGGACUGUACACUAGAGAUGGUUCUGUUGAUAUCAUGGGUAAUCCUGUUUUAAAGAGUGAGACAGGGAACUGGAAAGCUUGCCCCUUUAUUCUUGGUAAUGAAUGUUGUGAACGUUUGGCGUACUAUGGCAUUUGUCUUAAUCUUGUUACCUAUCUUACCAAGAAAUUACAUGAGGGAAAUGUCUCAGCUGCUAGAAAUGUCACAAUUUGGCAAGGCACGUGUUACCUAACACCCCUCAUUGGGGCUGUGAUGGCAGAUACAUAUUGGGGAAGAUAUUGGACAAUUGCUACCUUCUCUAUUAUCUACUUUAUGGGAAUGUGUACACUGACACUAUCAGCUUCAGUUCCUGCUUUUAAGCCCCCUGAAUGUGUGGGUUCUGUGUGCCCUUCAGCAACUCCUGCCCAGUAUGCCAUAUUCUUUUUUGGCCUCUAUUUGAUUGCUCUUGGAACUGGUGGGAUUAAGCCAUGUGUAUCGUCAUUUGGUGCGGAUCAAUUUGAUGACACAGAUCCAAAAGAGAGAGUUAAGAAGGGAUCCUUCUUCAAUUGGUUCUAUUUCUCUAUCAACAUUGGAGCUUUGAUGUCAAGCACUUUUAUUGUGUGGAUUCAAGAAAAUGCUGGAUAGGGCCUCGGGUUUUUCAUCCCUACAGUUUUUAUGGGGAUUGCCAUUGCAAGUUUCUUUUUUGGUACACCACUCUACAGAAUUCAAAAUCCUGGGGGAAGUCCUCUCACAAGAAUGUGCCAGGUUCUGGUUGCAACAUUCCACAAAUGGAACUUUUCUGUCCCCGAUGAUAGUACACUACUUUAUGAAACCCCAGACAAAAGCUCUACAAUUGAAGGAAGCCGAAAGCUACUGCACACUGAUGAACUGAGGUGCCUUGACAAAGCUGCUGUAGUUUCAGAUACCGAAUCGAAAACUGGGGACUAUUCCAAUGCUUGGAGGCUCUGUACUGUUACACAGGUUGAGGAACUGAAAAUUUUGAUCCGCAUGUUUCCCAUAUGGGCAACUGGAAUAAUAUUUGCUGCUGUUUAUGCACAAAUGACGUUGUUUGUGGAGCAAGGGAUGUCUAUGAUAGGAUCCUUAUUCCAAUUGCAAGGAGGCUUACUGGAAAUGAAAGGGGAUUUUCCAACUUACAGCGAAUUGGAAUCGGACAUUUCCUUUCUGUGUUGGGCAUGUCAGUUGCUGCUAUCGUUGAGUUCAAGCGUCUACAACUUGCAAGAGACCGUAGUUUGGUGGAUGAAGCAGUUGCAGUACCUCUCAGUAUCUUUUGGCAGAUUCCGCAGUAUUUUAUACUAGGAGCAGG
This is a non-coding RNA of Solanum lycopersicum (tomato), 1521 nucleotides long. NCBI's taxonomy places the organism in Eukaryota, Viridiplantae, Streptophyta, Magnoliopsida, Solanales, Solanaceae. The record is from RefSeq and is a predicted model, not a curated record.